This 120-nucleotide ribosomal RNA is filed under the name Pseudolarix amabilis. The record is from RNAcentral. Lineage: Eukaryota; Viridiplantae; Streptophyta; Pinopsida; Pinales; Pinaceae.
GGGCGCGAUCACACCAGCGUCAACGCACCGGAGCGCAUCGGAACUCCAUAGUUAAUCGCGCUUGGGAUAGAGUGGUACUCGGGUGGGUGACCUCCCGGGAAGUCCUAGUGUUGCACCCUC